Molecule: ribosomal RNA, 250 nt
Filed under: uncultured bacterium
Lineage: Bacteria
Description: partial 16S ribosomal RNA
Rfam family: Bacterial small subunit ribosomal RNA
Source: RNAcentral
AACGAUGAGCACUAGGUGUUGGGGGGAGAACCCUCAGUGCCGCAGUUAACGCAAUAAGUGCUCCGCCUGGGGAGUACGCACGCAAGUGUAAAACUCAAAGGAAUUGACGGGGACCCGCACAAGCAGCGGAGCAUGUGGUUUAAUUCGAAGCAACGCGAAGAACCUUACCAGGACUUGACAUCUGCCUGACGUACCCUUAACCGGGUAUUUCUUCGGACAGGCAAGACAGGUGGUGCAUGGCUGUCGUCAG